UCUAAGUUAAAAUCAGUUUUCCUGCGAUACGAUUUAUUUUCGGACUCUUAGAAGUUCUUUAGUCGUGUAGGCUUAGAACACGUACCGAGCUAAUCCCAUCUACGUGUUUUAACWCGAACUGUGCUGUACUUUGCCAUUUUUGUGUUUAGCAAUUCAAAGUCAAAUUGUUUACACAACAUGCCCGGGCUUGUCCUCACCUUUGAGAGCUCAAGGUCAUGUAAUUAGAAAAACAACAAAAACUCCCUAUAAAUCAUGUCUCUUUGACCAAAAAAGUUAGCUCUUUGGAUGACUAAUGACUUAGGGACUGUUUGAUUUCUCAUGCAAGUCAAAAAUAAUCCCUACGACACCCUAACAACAAGACCGUCCUCGCUGUUCGAGCUGAACGCGUGUGGGCGAGGUAAAUAGUUUUCGCUGAAAGUAUUCCAAUCCCGUGAGAUAAAACGUUUCAUUUGGGCGACUGUUUUGGUGUCAAUGUAAAUGUUGAGGGAUGGAAAGUGGGCUUAAGUGACUUUCCUGUAGAAGAUUUUUUCUUCCAGACCGACUACUGAAGAGAGAUUUUAGAAGUAGAACAUGUGAACUCUAUCGAUGAAACAGCUAUCUCUUUGCCACAGGGAUCCCAACUAGAGAAACCGAAACCACUAAUACUUAGGGUUGUGAGCCUGUGGUUUUGACAUGUUUUGGCUUAACAUCCGGUAGUUGCCGCUCAGUCAACCGCAGUGUUUGCCCCCCAGUCAACUUCAAAAAAGUCAAGUGAUUGAUAGUCCUCAAUAUGCUGGAAGACUUUGAAAUGAGAAAUACCUUUCUUUUCCAUGCAGUACUACUUUCCAAAGAUUGCAGAUGGAACCUCAAUUGUCAAACCGUGAGAAGCGAUAUUCAAUUAUAAAUCCAUGUACCACCAGUUUUUUGAGGUCAAACUACCACGACCAGUCAAGAUUAUGAACGCAUAAAAUAUGUAUUUUCGCCAGUACUUUUAUUAGACAAUAAGUUGGAUAUUUACAUCAAAUAACUUGGUUAUCAGUAACAGUGCUGAAGCGCUUGGAGCAAAUCAUUUAUGAUCAUAAAUUCAAUUUAAUUAUAUCUUACAUUAUCUAUCUUUAAGCUGCUAUAGYUCAUUUGUAUACACACGCAAUAGCUUUAAACCCAAUAUAUUGUAAAGGUAGAUACUUCAUAUAUUGUUAUUAACUGUUGCCGUUAUUUAGAGGCAAAUAUGUUAAAAAAUACACGAGCUUCUCGCUCCUAUUUCCGCCGGAAGUACGAACUUCAUAAUGUACCGGAAGUACCUUUUCACUACUGUUCCAACGAGCUAAUUCUUCUAUUUCAUUUUAUCAUAUAUAGUAUAUAUCAAAUUUUAAAGCCUUUCUAUGCUAAGCAAUUCAAUCGGUUAUUGGUACUCUUGUGUUUGUUUUGUCAAAUAGUUUCAAUUUAUAAACAGUUCGUGGCAUAAAAAAAUCAAGAAACGUCCGACCUGGUUAUCCUGCUCCAAGCUAGAGAUUUUACUUCCGUUUGCUCGCAAAUUGUAGUAGGUUGGUCACGAUGACACCACCGACUGCAAACCACAAAUAAGGAUAUGACGUAACGAAGCACGAGUGUAAGGUGUAAGAACCCUAGUGUUGUCUAUUUUUAUAAUUACACAACUUUGAUAACUAGCUAUAACUCUAUACGCCUGGGUGUUUGGCUUCCGUCUUUUAAACUUCUAAGGCCUUUGUUAGAAUUUUUAUGAUCGACGAAAGCUAGACUGCGAGCACUUCUUGUAAAGAGUAUUUCCCUUG
This is a long non-coding RNA of Actinia tenebrosa (Australian red waratah sea anemone), 1769 nucleotides long. The record is from RefSeq and is a predicted model, not a curated record. NCBI's taxonomy places the organism in Eukaryota, Metazoa, Cnidaria, Anthozoa, Actiniaria, Actiniidae.